AUCUGCCCUUCACUCUGGGACAAGCCCUGGAAACGGGGUCUAAUACCGGAUAACACCUUCUCCCUCCUGGGAGGGGGUUAAAAGCUCCGGCGGUGAAGGAUGAGCCCGCGGCCUAUCAGCUAGUUGGUGGGGUAAUGGCCUACCAAGGCGACGACGGGUAGCCGGCCUGAGAGGGCGACCGGCCACACUGGGACUGAGACACGGCCCAGACUCCUACGGGAGGCAGCAGUGGGGAAUAUUGCACAAUGGGCGAAAGCCUGAUGCAGCGACGCCGCGUGAGGGAUGACGGCCUUCGGGUUGUAAACCUCUUUCAGCAGGGAAGAAGCGAAAGUGACGGUACCUGCGGAAGAAGCGCCGGCUAACUACGUGCCAGCAGCCGCGGUAAUACGUAGGGCGCAAGCGUUGUCCGGAAUUAUUGGGCGUAAAAGAGCUCGUAGGCGGCUUGUCACGUCGGGUGUGAAAGCCCGGGGGCUAACCCCCGGUCUGCAUUCGAUACGGGG
Molecule: ribosomal RNA, 500 nt
Filed under: Streptomyces drozdowiczii
Lineage: Bacteria; Bacillati; Actinomycetota; Actinomycetes; Kitasatosporales; Streptomycetaceae
Description: bacterial SSU rRNA
Rfam family: Bacterial small subunit ribosomal RNA
Source: RNAcentral